CUACGGGCCGCAGCAGUGGGGAAUCUUAGACAAUGGGCGCAAGCCUGAUCUAGCCAUGCCGCGUGAGUGACGAAGGCCUUAGGGUCGUAAAGCUCUUUCGCUGGGGAAGAUAAUGACGGUACCCAGUAAAGAAACCCCGGCUAACUCCGUGCCAGCAGCCGCGGUAAUACGGAGGGGGUUAGCGUUGUUCGGAAUUACUGGGCGUAAAGCGCGCGUAGGCGGAUCAGAAAGUUGGGGGUGAAAUCCCGGGGCUCAACCCCGGAACUGCCUUCAAAACUCCUGGUCUUGAGUUCGAGAGAGGUGAGUGGAAUUCCGAGUGUAGAGGUGAAAUUCGUAGAUAUUCGGAGGAACACCAGUGGCGAAGGCGGCUCACUGGCUCGAUACUGACGCUGAGGUGCGAAAGCGUGGGGAGCAAACAGGAUUAGAUACCCCUGUAGUC
Molecule: ribosomal RNA, 439 nt
Filed under: uncultured bacterium
Lineage: Bacteria
Description: partial 16S ribosomal RNA
Rfam family: Bacterial small subunit ribosomal RNA
Source: RNAcentral